Molecule: non-coding RNA, 3962 nt
Organism: Manis javanica (Malayan pangolin)
Lineage: Eukaryota; Metazoa; Chordata; Mammalia; Pholidota; Manidae
Source: RefSeq, a predicted model, not a curated record
UGUCUGCACGUCGGUUUUGUUCGGAGAUGCAAUGCAAGAUAAAUAAGAAAGAGAACUUUGGAUGCCAUUAUCUACCACGCGGUACUUCCAUUGACCUACAGGCAUUUACAAGAGCACUUGUGCACCAGGACAUGGAAAAAUCCAGACAUUUCACAGCCCAGGAAUACGACUGUGUGCUAAUAUGAAUCCCUAGAUCCAGCACACUUUGGCCUGUCGGUCCAAGUGGUGGCUCACUGGAAUCAGCCAGGAAAAACCAGGAUGUGUUUGCAGUAAUUUAAGAGGGGGAGUAUUACAUCUUCAGUAACCUGCCUCGGCGACUCUGUACCUCCCAAGAGCUUUUCGUCUCCUUCCCAAGGCGCUGAGCCGCUCGCUACCUGGAAGACGGCAGGGCCGGAGCACCGUGAACAGAACACAGCAGAAAUAAUUCUUGGCUUGCUGCUGGGCCCCGGUAGAGACUGAGUGCCUGAUCACAGAACUGGCUGGCAGGGUAACCUGAGCUGCCCGUCAGGAGCUGGUGUUACCAGGUGCUAUAAACCAGAACAAACACAUGGGCUCCUCAGAAGUAAAUCACGAGAUACAAACGUGAACAGGCUCUGAAAGCGCAGGGUGUUUUAGAAAGAAGCAUGUGGGUGGAACCCUUGGACUGGAGCCGAGGGCGGGAGCACCGUGCACCGUGAGGGUGCUCCCCGCAGGCCUCCAGUGAGCAGCGACUGCCGGCCUCAUCCUCCGGCCCGGUGCUGCCUGGCCAAGAGAUGCCCUGACUCCGAGGGCCGCGUCUAGAGCCUGCACAGCAGCAAACACCUCCCCUCUCCGGGCCACUUGCUCCAGCCCCUGAGGGGUGUCCAGUCCCCAGCCCAAGGGAGAGGCCAAAGAGGACUCACUUUUCCCCGGGGACCCAGUGGCCACCUGACUGGACUGGAGCAUUAGACUGCUUUCAUCAGCAGGGGAAUAACUUAUCCUGACUGGGCCAAACAUUUCCUAAGGAUGUGCCUUCCAUCCUGACAUGCUCCUCCCAGCAGCCACGUCUCUGAGCUUCCUGGACGCCUGAUUCACAGCACUGUUUCUGACCAAAGAACCAACUGCACACAGACAACAAUAAAAACACUCACAGAAUUUACUGCCUUACCAUGUACCUAUUACCCCAAAUCACCAGACCUUACAGAGAGUUGAAAUGUUUGAAUGAAAAUAAAAUAGAACAUAAUGUCUAAUAAAAAGAGGGUGCUGUCCAGGGGGAAGCAGCCUGGGGCACAGGAUGCGUCACCCUCUCCCUCUCCCACUGGGUGUCUCCCGUCUGCAUCUCUGGGUCCCGCCAGGAGCUCCGAGAGCAUCUGGGCAGCACACAGACACGGUCCUGUGCUCACGGCCUGUGGUGCCUGCCCACAGCUUUAUUCUUCAGGGUCAGAAACAGAGUGACACGAUCUUAAUGUGUAUUUCUGCCCUACCUUCCUGGUUCACUCUUUCUAGACAGAGUAGGUCGGUGGUGGUUAGCAUCGCCCAUUUAGUUCCUAGUUUACAGAAUGUGAAAAAGCCAAAACUCAAGAAAGAAUAAUGACACCGCGACUAUCUGGACUUGAGGUACGUGUAUUAAUUGUUAAACUGUUUGCUAACUGCCUUUGGAGACAAAGGAAAGGAGACUUUAGCUUGUCUAGGUAACAGGUGCAUCGUCCAAGGAGCAUACAUCGUUAUUACAGGAAGUUAGGCUUGGAAGAGGCAUUUUGAAUCGGGACAGGGGGAGGACUGACUCUAAUAAGCAUUUCUCUUUUAUCUCCCAACAAGGUCUGAACAUCCCUCUCUUGUCCGGGGUAUUUUCUAUGUUAGAUUAUUGCCUCCCUAAAAUAAAACCCAGACACCUACUUUCCUAAGAUCCCCAGCCAGGAAGCAUAGGCCUUCUUCACGCGAGAGAGUUCUGUUGGCCAAGUGGAGGCAGAAGGAGCUGCCCUGUGGGACCCAGUCCAGCAAGCGCAUCGCCAACGGACAGACACCGGGUCCAGAAGCCUGGGGGGUAGACUGGUGGCCUUACCCAGUGUCAGCAUUUUAAGCUGUGCUGCCUGGACUGCAGGGAUAAGAGCUGCCAGCAGCACAAUCUGACAGACAAAUGCAUUGCUCUCGAAUGUGAGCCAGGGUCUCUGGCUAUCCCAGGGAUGCUGUGGGCUCCCAACACCCUUUUUAAGAAGUGUGCCUUUCACACCGAUAAACCGCAACAGAGUUUUGUUCAAUGUUUUACAUUACAUACAUUCAUUUGAGUAGGAUAUUUGCAUUAGAGAAAUCUUAGAUACUUCAAGUUUCUUACUUCGUUAAAAUAACACACAUACGCAUGCACACAUGCAUACAGAUAGCCAACAAAAAUUCACCCGCAAAUGUUUUGAAGUAUAGCAAACUAGACUAUGCUGAAAAAUACCAUUUAAAACCUCUUAACUGAGAAGCUAAAGUUGAACAGAUUUCAUAAGCCCAGGGGCUGUCUGAUACACCAUAAAAGCCUCCCGUAAUCAGACCUCAGCAUAUGAAGACAGUUCAGUGCCAGGUUAACAGAAGCAGAAACUGUAACCUCAAGCACUUUGUGGUAAGCACCAUCAUGGUUUGAAGGCAGGGAAACCAUCUUGUAUACACUGACAUUUAAAUUGUCUACUUUGGGGAUAUACAUACACCUGAAAACAGAGAAAUUUAAAUUACACUGAAUUAACCACAGUUAUCCAAAAGAAUAACUUUUUAAUAAACAUAUGUUCCAAGGCCGAUAUAGUCAAUUAGAAUUGUAUCUAAAGGGACUCUCAUUUGUAUUCCCUCCAAGUUCACUAAUGGAAGUCCUCAAUUUCUCCUAUGGAAUUGUGUUUUUGCUUGAAUAAAAUGUAAGUUCAUGGUAUUUUCAGCUCAGGGAGACUGGGGAUGGAGAACUUUCUAUUAAUAUUUAAGAUAGGAAAAUUGGUGAUUUAAAUCUGUAUUUCAUAUACCAAACAAAUUUAUACUUCCUUCUAUUCAUACCUAAGCAUCAUUUCAAAGUUAUUUGAUUCCCCAUCAGAAAGUCACUGAGCCAACGCCCCAGAGAACUGUAGUCAAGUGGUAGAGAAAUGUCACUCACUACAGGUGCAUUCUAUUCCCUGAACAUCCUGUGGUAGGGCGAAUCCUUUUUUGAGAAGAUGAAGACAUGAUAUUAGAGAAAGAACUAUAUAGCCUGAGAAUAAAAAACAAACACGAAUCCUCUGCUUUAAAAAGAAUAUUAAGCAUUUUCAGAUUAGAGAAGUGAUAUGUUGAUGUAAAAACCUCAGACAUAGAGAUAAUGUUUAACAAGACAAACAUUUUAAUUACACCAUUUUUAGUGCAUUGGUAAUUCUGUCAUUAAGUGGACUUCUGGUUACCCAUAAAUAUAAAUAUACAUGCACAUAUAUUUUGGACAUAUAUGUGUAUGUAUAUGCAUGUAUAUAUUUGGAAAAGGUUAUAUAUAUGGUAUGCACAUAUGUAUAUAAACAUUUUUACAUUACAAUGUGAAUCUGUCCUUGACCUAUGUCUACUUUUCAGUUUGUUAUAUAGAUACACUAUAAUUUACUGAACUGCUCUUAUUGGACAUUUAUCUUAUUACUGCCCUGUAUUAUGACAAAUAAUGCUAGGUUAAAGAUCCUAUUACAUUAUGUGUAUUUUUAUUACAAGGAUAAGGGUCAAAGUGUACAGAAAGAAAAUGGAUAAUAUUGUUUUUGAAACUGGGUACUGUAUUUCCUACCAGAAAGUUUCUAGCAGGUUAUAUUCCAAUAGCAGGGCAUUAUAGAUACAUUUUCAGUAGACUAUGCCAAAAAAUAUGUAUUCUAAUUUGUUUUCUAAUUUAACUGCUGAGGAGUGUACACUGUGUUUUAAUUUGUAUGAUUGAAAACUAGUUAUUUUUUAGUGUCAAAAUUUAUCUGUUUUUAUUUCCUUUGUUAUGAGUUGCCUUUCACAAUUUCUAUCUGGUUUUUGUCUUUUUCUUAUUAAUUUGUAAG